This 421-nucleotide ribosomal RNA is filed under the name Dysdera alegranzaensis. RNAcentral's name for it is "eukaryotic LSU rRNA". The stretch from base 1 to 105 matches the Rfam family "5.8S ribosomal RNA", at positions 50 to 154 of the family's 154-position model. The record is from RNAcentral. Lineage: Eukaryota; Metazoa; Arthropoda; Arachnida; Araneae; Dysderidae.
CAGCUGCGAGACUUGGUGUGAAUUGCAGGACACAUUGAGCACUGAUUUUUCGAACGCGCAUUGCGGCCUCGGGUCUCGCCCGGGGCCUCGCCUGUCUGAGGGUCGGAUGCGACAUACCGAGAGGUUAAACUUUCCAGCGUGUUCCUUUCUUCCGGUCCGAGUUCCGGAAGUGGUAGUGCGUGGAUUGAAACCUCACGUGGCCGCUUCGGAGCAUGCGCCAACAUGGCGACGCUCCGUCGGCUCGAGUCCUGGUUCGAUGUUGAUGGGGAAGACCUCCACUCGGCGUCCAUCUCGACGUGGCCGUGGGAAAGGCGAAUGAAACGUUCUUUCUACACCGCUGGCUCAUCGUUCGAGAUGCCGUGACGGGGUUCUUCGUUCUCAUUUUGUCGACCUCAGAUCAGACGAGACGACCCGCUGAAUU